CGUUCAAAUGCCGGUUCCCGUACGAUCACCGAAGUUAAGCAACGUCGAUCCUUUUCAGUAUUUAGAUGGGUGACCGCUUGGGAAUACCAGCUGCUGUAAG
This is a non-coding RNA of Acanthosepion pharaonis, 100 nucleotides long. Lineage: Eukaryota; Metazoa; Mollusca; Cephalopoda; Sepiida; Sepiidae. The record is from the annotation of a GenBank genome assembly.